GACGAACGCUGGCGGCGUGCUUAACACAUGCAAGUCGAACGGAAAGGCCCUGCUUUUGUGGGGUGCUCGAGUGGCGAACGGGUGAGUAACACGUGAGUAACCUGCCCUUGACUUUGGGAUAACUUCAGGAAACUGGGGCUACUACCGGAUAGGAGCUCCUGCUGCAUGGUGGGGGUUGGAAAGUUUCGGCGGUUGGGGAUGGACUCGCGGCUUAUCAGCUUGUUGGUGGGGUAGUGGCUUACCAAGGCUUUGACGGGUAGCCGGCCUGAGAGGGUGACCGGCCACAUUGGGACUGAGAGACGGCCCAGACUCCUACGGGAGGCAGCAGUGGGGAAUAUUGCACAAUGGGCGGAAGCCUGAUGCAGCAACGCCGCGUGCGGGAUGACGGCCUUCGGGUUGUAAACCGCUUUCGCCUGUGACGAAGCGUGAGUGACGGUAAUGGGUAAAGAAGCACCGGCUAACUACGUG
This 468-nucleotide ribosomal RNA is filed under the name uncultured bacterium. Its description in RNAcentral is "partial 16S ribosomal RNA". It matches the Rfam family "Bacterial small subunit ribosomal RNA", at positions 28 to 507 of the family's 1533-position model. The record is from RNAcentral.